RNAcentral lists this ribosomal RNA (483 nucleotides) under uncultured bacterium. RNAcentral's name for it is "partial 16S ribosomal RNA". It matches the Rfam family "Bacterial small subunit ribosomal RNA", at positions 28 to 507 of the family's 1533-position model. The record is from RNAcentral.
GACGAACGCUGGCGGCGUGCUUAACACAUGCCAGUCGAACGCUGAAGCUCAGCUUUUGUUGGGUGGAUGAGUGGCGAACGGGUGAGUAACACGUGAGUAACCUGCCCCCUUCUUUGGGAUAACGCCCGGAAACGGGUGCUAAUACUGGAUAUUCACUGGUCUUCGCAUGGGGGUUGGUGGAAAGGGUUUUUCUGGUGGGGGAUGGGCUCGCGGCCUAUCAGCUUGUUGGUGGGGUGAUGGCCUACCAAGGCUUUGACGGGUAGCCGGCCUGAGAGGGUGACCGGUCACAUUGGGACUGAGAUACGGCCCAGACUCCGACGGGAGGCAGCAGUGGGGAAUAUUGCACAAUGGGCGCAAGCCUGAUGCAGCGACGCAGCGUGAGGGAUGGAGGCCUUCGGGUUGUGAACCUCUUUCGCUCAUGGUCAAGCCGCAACAAUGGUUGUGGUGAGGGUAGUGGGUAAAGAAGCGCCGGCUAACUACGUG